RNAcentral lists this ribosomal RNA (366 nucleotides) under uncultured bacterium. RNAcentral describes it as "bacterial SSU rRNA". It matches the Rfam family "Bacterial small subunit ribosomal RNA", at positions 29 to 403 of the family's 1533-position model. The record is from RNAcentral.
AACGAACGCUGGCGGCACGCUUUAAGCAUGCAAGUCGAGGGGCAGCAAUGCAGCAAUACAGUUGGCGACCGGCGCACGGGUGAGUAACACGUAAGGAUCUGGCCUAAAGGUCUAGGAUAGCCAAUGGAAACAUUGGGUAAUACUGGAUGGUACCGAGAGGUUAAAGCUAAGCAAUUAGUGCCUUUGGAUGAACUUGCGGUUCAUUAGCUAGUUGGUGAGGUAAGAGCUUACCAAGGCGACGAUGGAUAGCCGGCCUGAGAGGGUGAACGGCCACACUGGAACUGAGACACGGACCAGACUCCUACGGGAGGCAGCAGUGGGGAAUAUUGGGCAAUGGACGCAAGUCUGACCCAGCAACGCCGCGUG